Triticum aestivum (bread wheat) is the source of this 484-nucleotide long non-coding RNA. RefSeq lists it as uncharacterized. NCBI's taxonomy places the organism in Eukaryota, Viridiplantae, Streptophyta, Magnoliopsida, Poales, Poaceae. The record is from RefSeq and is a predicted model, not a curated record. The transcript is spliced from 2 exons.
ACCCAUUAAACUUACAAUGCAACGCAAGAAGCCCAAAAGCCCGUAAAGUGAACUCCAUCCGUGACAGCCUGCCAGGCAAGUUCGUGGCUUCGUGACCCUUCUAGGUAUUCCUAUUUUCCUGUAGACAUGUACGCGUACACAGGCAGCCGCCAGCACCACGACCUUUCGCCGUUUGCAUCGUGGACUCUCUCCCAAUCUCCUCAGCCGGCGACGAGCCCCACCGACAAGGGUAGGUCUGGGCGGCAACGGCGAUGAGCCCCGCCAACAAGGGUGGGUCUGGGCGGCAACCUUGCCGCCUAAUAUAAACCAAAAAUUCAAGGAAGAUGAGAAGCUACAACCAGGGCUGCAAAGUAUUUUUGGUAUUACUCUAUUUUUAAUAUGUAAGGAACUCAAUUUAUAAUUUCAUCCAACAGGUAUGCCUUGCACUUCAGCUUUCAAUGUAACCCAAUUUGUGAUAAGUAAUAGCAUGUGUAUGUUAUUUUUA